CGCGUAGGCGGACAGCUUAGUCAGAGGUGAAAGCCCAGGGCUCAACCUUGGAACUGCCUUUGAUACUGGCUGUCUUGAGUUCGGGAGAGGUGUGUGGAACUCCGAGUGUAGAGGUGAAAUUCGUAGAUAUUCGGAAGAACACCAGUGGCGAAGGCGACACACUGGCCCGAUACUGACGCUGAGGCGCGAAAGCGUGGGGAGCAAACAGGAUUAGAUACCCUGGUAGUCCACGCUGUAAACGAUGAGUGCUAGUUGUCGGCAUGCAUGCAUGUCGGUGACGCAGCUAACGCAUUAAGCACUCCGCCUGGGGAGUACGGUCGCAAGAUUAAA
RNAcentral lists this ribosomal RNA (330 nucleotides) under uncultured bacterium. RNAcentral's name for it is "bacterial SSU rRNA". It matches the Rfam family "Bacterial small subunit ribosomal RNA", at positions 568 to 898 of the family's 1533-position model. The record is from RNAcentral.